This 863-nucleotide ribosomal RNA is filed under the name uncultured Bacillota bacterium. Its description in RNAcentral is "bacterial SSU rRNA". It matches the Rfam family "Bacterial small subunit ribosomal RNA", at positions 1 to 799 of the family's 1533-position model. The record is from RNAcentral. Lineage: Bacteria; Bacillati; Bacillota.
AGGAGAGUUUGAUCCUGGCUCAGGAUUAGAUACCCUGGUAGUCCAGAAUUCGGCUUAGAGUUUGAUCCUGGCUCAGGAUGAACGCUGGCGGCGUGCCUAACACAUGCAAGUCGAACGGAGUUUACUCGCUGAUGAAGCUUCGGCAGAAUCUUGAGUAAACUUAGUGGCGGACGGGUGAGUAACGCGUGGGCAACCUGCCUCAUACUGGGGGAUAGCAGUUGGAAACGACUGAUAAUACCGCAUAAGCGCACAGCAUCGCAUGAUGCAGUGUGAAAAACUCCGGUGGUAUGAGAUGGGCCCGCGUCAGAUUAGCUAGUUGGUAAGGUAACGGCUUACCAAGGCGACGAUCUGUAGCCGGACUGAGAGGUCGGACGGCCACAUUGGGACUGAGACACGGCCCAAACUCCUACGGGAGGCAGCAGUGGGGGAUAUUGCACAAUGGAGGAAACUCUGAUGCAGCGACGCCGCGUGAGUGAAGAAGUAUUUCGGUAUGUAAAGCUCUAUCAGCAGGGAAGAAAGGCUCUAAGGAGAGAUGACGGUACCUGACUAAGAAGCCCCGGCUAACUACGUGCCAGCAGCCGCGGUAAUACGUAGGGGGCAAGCGUUAUCCGGAUUUACUGGGUGUAAAGGGAGCGCAGACGGUUAUGCAAGUCUGAAGUGAAACCCCACGGCUCAACCGUGGGCUUGCUUUGGAAACUGUAUAACUAGAGUACUGGAGAGGUAAGCGGAAUUCCUAGUGUAGCGGUGAAAUGCGCAGAUAUUAGGAGGAACAUCGGUGGCGAAGGCGGCUUACUGGACAGCAACUGACGUUGAGGCUCGAAGGCGUGGGGAGCAAACAGGAUUAGAUACCCUGGUAGUCCCCU